Molecule: non-coding RNA, 74 nt
Organism: Piscirickettsia salmonis
Lineage: Bacteria; Pseudomonadati; Pseudomonadota; Gammaproteobacteria; Thiotrichales; Piscirickettsiaceae
Source: Rfam
AGGCCUGUAGCUCAGCUGGUUAGAGCGCACCCCUGAUAAGGGUGAGGUCGGUGGUUCAAGUCCACUCAGGCCUA